GGCGCAGUCAUGAAUAAAUGCGAUAUGACGAAGAACCAGUCCAUGUAAUCAAGCGCACACUGACCUGGCACAACACAUAGAUCACCUACUGCUGCCAGAUGGUCUGAGUAGUGCGUCCAAGUAUCGUCCACGUCAUCAUAUGACACCCAUGAAUGGACAGGAUGUGUAGGAAUGCACUGGACGUAGUCGAACUGGAGCAUAACCCUCUCCGGUCUGUAUCUGAC
Molecule: long non-coding RNA, 224 nt
Filed under: Glycine max (soybean)
Lineage: Eukaryota; Viridiplantae; Streptophyta; Magnoliopsida; Fabales; Fabaceae
Description: long non-coding RNA (GMAX_LNC001089)
Source: RNAcentral